RNAcentral lists this ribosomal RNA (295 nucleotides) under uncultured fungus. RNAcentral's name for it is "partial large subunit ribosomal RNA". Lineage: Eukaryota; Fungi. The record is from RNAcentral.
CUUAACCCUUCAUGCUUUGCAUAUUUGUGCUCUUGGGUGUACUUGCCCGUGUGGUUGGUUAACAUCAAUUUUGGUGGUCAUAAAAUGACUGGAGGAAUGUAGCUUCGAUCUUGUAUUGAAGUGUUAUAGCCUUCGGUAGAUGUGAUGAUCGAGAUUGAGGAUUGCAACGGAUACCCUUCGGGGCUACCUGUCUGGUCUCUGAUCGUUGCUCUGGUGCCGAAAGCUUGCUUACGGUUAUCAAAGUCGAUGGUCAAUAGGUUAGAAUGGGUUAAAUUCGUUAAGGAUGUUGACGUAA